UAUUAAGUUAUAAUACAUUUAUUGUACAGUUUAAUGGAUGUAGUAAUUAUAGGAAAAUAGGGGACUAACAUAAGGUAUGGAAUGGAGAGGCGAGAUAAUGGCUUUAGUAGAUACACGUAUACCCAAAGAACAGACGUGCAGGAAGUCCCCUCUGGAGCGAUGGCAGAGCAAGAGACUCUCUUGAGAUACCGAUAAAGUAUGCAAGUGGCAGAGCUUGAGCAGCAAUCGGUCCUCUGAAACGCAAGAAUAUGAUAUCUGAAGAAAUAAAUCGAAACGAUCGAAUGAUAA
This is a long non-coding RNA of Drosophila miranda, 288 nucleotides long. RefSeq lists it as uncharacterized. The record is from RefSeq and is a predicted model, not a curated record. The transcript has 2 exons. NCBI's taxonomy places the organism in Eukaryota, Metazoa, Arthropoda, Insecta, Diptera, Drosophilidae.